Molecule: long non-coding RNA, 239 nt
Organism: Haliotis rubra (blacklip abalone)
Lineage: Eukaryota; Metazoa; Mollusca; Gastropoda; Lepetellida; Haliotidae
Exons: 2
Source: RefSeq, a predicted model, not a curated record
UCAGGCUAUUCCCAACACACUUGUCAGGCUAUUCCCAACAACCUUGUCAGGAUAUUUCCAACACCAUUGUCUAACUAACCCGAACACCCUUGUCAGGCUAUUCCCAACACCCUUGUCAGGCUGUUCCCAACACCCUCGUCCGGCUAUUCCCAACACCCUUGUCAGGCUAUUCCCAAGACCCUUUUCAGGCUAUUCCAAAGACCCUUGUCAGGCUAUUUCCAACACCCUUGUCAGGCUAU